ACUUGAAUUGAAGAGUUUGAUCAUGGCUCAGAUUGAACGCUGGCGGCAGGCUUAACACAUGCAAGUCGAACGGUAGCAGGAGAAAGCUUGCUUUCUUGCUGACGAGUGGCGGACGGGUGAGUAAUGCUUG
This 130-nucleotide ribosomal RNA is filed under the name Haemophilus influenzae. RNAcentral's name for it is "partial 16S ribosomal RNA". It matches the Rfam family "Bacterial small subunit ribosomal RNA", at positions 1 to 119 of the family's 1533-position model. The record is from RNAcentral. Lineage: Bacteria; Pseudomonadati; Pseudomonadota; Gammaproteobacteria; Pasteurellales; Pasteurellaceae.